UUUGGGCUUCCUACAGCAUGACUGUUGUGUCCCAGUAGCACACACCCAAGACAAACCACUCCAGGAGCAAACAUUCCAGGAUAACCAGUUGGAAGCUGCAUGGUCUUUUAUGACUUAGUCUCAGAUGACAGGCUGUGUCACUUUCUUCUCAGCCAGCUCAAGUCUGCUGAGAUUUCCACGGGUAGGCAACAUAGACCAUUGAUAAAAGGAAAAAAGUUCUAAAAAAUUUGUGGAGGCUAUUUUAUAAAAACCACCAAAACAUGCUGACUGUUGGCAGUACUUGCUGAACUAGGGAGUAUUCUGGAACUAUGUGAGGACAUCUUCAUUGUAAGAAGUUGGAUCAAGACAUCCUAGGUAUUGAUUUUAAUCUUAUUAAAUGAAAUAACCACGUGUCAACCUGGGGGAAAGACUGAGUGAAGACCAUCAUGAUCAUCUCAAAACUCAAAGGAAUUUGCAUCCAGAAUGGCUUAACUUUGAAAAUAGGUACCUGAGCAAAGAAAAGGGUUAAUUCAUUUGGUUGUUAUAGAUUUAGAAGAAAGCUAUGGAUUUAGAAGAAAACUCACUUGACUACCUAAAUAGCUUUAUGUCAUUUCCAGCUCUCAUAUCUCUCUACUUUGGAAGUAGAUUUUGAAACCCAGAUUCUAUUUUGAGGCUUCUCUUGCCAAAGGAAUUGUCAUGACUCUUCUCUUUACUUCACAGGACCCAACUUUCACACCAUUCUAAUCUUUUCUAAUUCAACUUCCUAUGCUUUGUUUUCAUCAAGGCAGUUAAUCAAAUAAUAACCAUAAUCAUAGUAAUAGUAAUAAUUAUGACUAUAAUUAAGUUGUAUUUAAAUACUAAGUGCUUUGCCUGUAUACAUUCAUUUUAUCCUCACAACUAUAGGAGGUAGCAACUAGUGUCAUACUGAGGCAUAGAAAGGUGAAGUAAGUCACCCAAUUUUAAGUGGCAGAGGAAAUUUUCAUGCCCACAUGGUGUGGCUCAAAGCCUGCACACUGGAACACUAUACCAGAUAGCAUGGAUUACUAGGCAGGAUUAAAGAGAAGUGGCAUAAUUGUAUCACAGUUGGUAUACUAAAGGAAAAUUUGGUAAGUAUUGUUUCUAAGACGAAUACUUUGAUUUUGUAUAACAGAACAAUAUAAGUGAAGUAAAUAUUGUUUAGGAAGGAUUUUAAGCUCAUAUUGAUUCAAACUGCCUCACUGGGGACGUGUGCCUUAAAAACCCUCUUACUCCUUUUUCAUCUUAGAGAGAGGUUUCCUUCCCUUUUUUGUGAGACAGUGUCUCACUUUGUCAGUCAGUCUGAGUGCAGUGGCAGUCAUAGCUCACCGUAGCCUCUACCUUCUGAGCUCGAGUGAGCCUCCUGUCUCAGCCUCCUGAGUAGCCACCAGCAUAGCUGGGGCUACAGGGGUGCACCACCGCAUCUUAUUUUUUGGUAGAGAUGGGAUUUCAGCAUUUUGCCCAGCCUGGUCACUUGGAGAGAGGUUUCUAGUCGCAU
RNAcentral lists this long non-coding RNA (1492 nucleotides) under Homo sapiens (human). RNAcentral describes it as "HSALNT0274952". Lineage: Eukaryota; Metazoa; Chordata; Mammalia; Primates; Hominidae. The record is from RNAcentral.